This is a long non-coding RNA of Nymphaea colorata (pocket water lily), 1079 nucleotides long. RefSeq lists it as uncharacterized. The transcript is spliced from 3 exons. The record is from RefSeq and is a predicted model, not a curated record. Lineage: Eukaryota; Viridiplantae; Streptophyta; Magnoliopsida; Nymphaeales; Nymphaeaceae.
CCCCGAGCCCUCGACGCAUCUCCUUCUCCUCCAGCUCCACCCCCAUCUCCUUCUUUUCCACCUCCGCCCCCAUCUCCCCUACCUUUCUCCUCUUCUCCACCCUCGACUGACUUUCUCCUCCAUCUUUGCCCUCGUCUAUGCCGCCGAGCUGCCUGAUUCCUGUUUCUCUCCUUCUCCUCUGUCGCCCGAGCUGCCCUAGCCCUUGCCCUGUAGCCCAUUCUUGUCUUCCUUGCCCCUCACGCUUCUUCACCCUCCUUCAACCUCUCGCCUCCUUCAAACGUGCAGUGGAUUGAAGCUGCCCCUCGCCCUGCCAAUCAAGCAAUCUGCCCAUUCCACAGGCAGACCACCCGUAGCUUCCGUUGCAGCCUAGCAGCUCCUCAGCUUCCUCUUCUCCUCUCCUUAGCAGGAACGACAGCUCUCUGCAGCAGUGACUCAUCCGACUCAUUUCCGGCAUUUCUGAAGAGCAUCUCCAGAGAAGGGUUAUCAUUUAUUCACCUGCUCGCACUGCAACUCAGCAAGGUUCAGGAAAAGUUGGAAGGUAGAAAAUCAACUUCUUGUCAACGCAAAAGUAAGUUAUGGUGGUCCUUUCUUUCCAACAGCUGCAUGUUCACAUGUUUUUCAGGAUCCUGCUGUCUUCCCGAUGGUUACUGUCAUAGAGAAUACAGUGUUAAUGACUUCUGCUACAAAGCCUGCCAGGGAUAUAAAUUACCAAAAAAUGGCUAUGUAGUGUGUACAAUGUACAAAAACGUAAGGGGGAAAACAGCCUACAAAAUCAAGGCAGUGCAUCCCCAUUAAGCUUGCCUCAAAAGCCGCUGCUCAUACUUUCUUGGCUCAAUGUAGCUCAUCGGCCUCAAACUUCAUAGACAGCUUCAGGCUCUUGGAUGCAUGACAUGGCAUGUGAGCCAUACAAAUGUCGAAUGUGAGAUUUCUAUACAUACCUUAACUAGCUAGGAAGAAAAAAGCAGUAUGCCAUGGUCAAUGUACACUUCUAUUCACUUCUAUGGUCAAUGUCAUAGUGCGUGUGUGUGAUCUGUAGAAACCAGACCAUUAAAUUAAAGAAUGUUUGCUGAUAUGGUGAA